UAGGGAAUCUUCGGCAAUGGGGGCAACCCUGACCGAGCAACGCCGCGUGAGUGAAGAAGGUUUUCGGAUCGUAAAGCUCUGUUGUAAGAGAAGAACGUGUGUGAGAGUGGAAAGUUCACACAGUGACGGUAACUUACCAGAAAGGGACGGCUCACUACGUGCCAGCAGCCGCGGUAAUACGUAGGUCCCGAGCGUUGUCCGGAUUUAUUGGGCGUAAAGCGAGCGCAGGCGGUUUAAUAAGUCUGAAGUUAAAGGCAGUGGCUUAACCAUUGUUCGCUUUGGAAACUGUUAAACUUGAGUGCAGAAGGGGAGAGUGGAAUUCCAUGUGUAGCGGUGAAAUGCGUAGAUAUAUGGAGGAACACCGGUGGCGAAAGCGGCUCUCUGGUCUGUAACUGACGCUGAGGCUCGAAAGCGUGGGGAGCAAACAGG
This 429-nucleotide ribosomal RNA is filed under the name bacterium. Its description in RNAcentral is "partial 16S ribosomal RNA". It matches the Rfam family "Bacterial small subunit ribosomal RNA", at positions 355 to 776 of the family's 1533-position model. The record is from RNAcentral.